GUGAAUCAUCAAAUCUUUGAACGCACAUUGCACUUUCUGGUAUUCCGGAAAGCAUGCCUGUUUGAGGGUCAGUUAAAUAAAAAUCGGUGCUGUUGCUGCCUUUCGUGGUGACGCGUCGGCAUGGCUUCGUCUUACCUUCGGUUAAGUGACUUAAAAUUUUGCAUGUUUUUCGAACGUAUCUAAAUCGCUUACGUACGUUUGAGAUAUCGAAUGCUUAUUAGGUUCGGUCUUUCCCAUGAUUCGCGCCUAUAAUUUUUCAUUAAACGAC
RNAcentral lists this unclassified non-coding RNA (268 nucleotides) under Glomus sp. RNAcentral describes it as "partial contains 5.8S ribosomal RNA and internal transcribed spacer 2". The stretch from base 1 to 71 matches the Rfam family "5.8S ribosomal RNA", at positions 84 to 154 of the family's 154-position model. Lineage: Eukaryota; Fungi; Glomeromycota; Glomeromycetes; Glomerales; Glomeraceae. The record is from RNAcentral.